GACGAACGCUGGCGGCGUGCUUAACACAUGCAAGUCGAACGGAAAGGCCCUGCUUUUGUGGGGUGCUCGAGUGGCGAACGGGUGAGUAACACGUGAGUAACCUGCCCUUGACUUUGGGAUAACUUCAGGAAACUGGGGCUAAUACCGGAUAGGAGCUCCUGCUGCAUGGUGGGGGUUGGAAAGUUUCGGCGGUUGGGGAUGGACUCGCGGCUUAUCAGCUUGUUGGUGGGGUAGUGGCUUACCAAGGCUUUGACGGGUAGCCGGCCUGAGAGGGUGACCGGCCACAUUGGGACUGAGAUACGGCCCAGACUCCUACGGGAGGCAGCAGUGGGGAAUAUUGCACAAUGGGCGGAAGCCUGAUGCAGCAACGCCGCGUGCGGGAUGACGGCCUUCGGGUUGUAAACCGCUUUCGCCUGUGACGAAGCGUGAGUGACGGUAAUGGGUAAAGAAGCACCGGCUAACUACGUGCCAGCAGCCGCGGUGAUACGUANGGUGCGAGCGUUGUCCGGAUUUAUUGGGCGUAAGGGCUCGUAGGUGGUUGAUCGCGUCGGAAGUGUAAUCUUGGGGCUUAACCCUGAGCGUGCUUUCGAUACGGGUUGACUUGAGGAAGGUAGGGGAGAAUGGAAUUCCUGGUGGAGCGGUGGAAUGCGCAGAUAUCAGGAGGAACACCAGUGGCGAAGGCGGUUCUCUGGGCCUUUCCUGACGCUGAGGAGCGAAAGCGUGGGGAGCGAACAGGCUUAGAUACCCUGGUAGUCCACGCUGUAAACGGUGGGUACUAGGUGUGGGGUCCAUUCCACGGGUUCCGUGCCGUAGCUAACGCUUUAAGUACCCCGCCUGGGGAGUACGGCCGCAAGGCUAAAACUCAAAGGAAUUGACGGGGCCCCGCACAAGCGGCGGAGCAUGCGGAUUAAUUCGAUGCAACGCGUAGAACCUUACCUGGGUUUGACAUGGAUCGGGAGCGCUCAGAGAUGGGUGUGCCUCUUUUGGGGUCGGUUCACAGGUGGUGCAUGGCUGUCGUCAGCUCGUGUCGUGAGAUGUUGGGUUAAGUCCCGCAACGAGCGCAACCCUUGUUCACUGUUGCCAGCACGUUAUGGUGGGGACUCAGUGGAGACCGCCGGGGUCAACUCGGAGGAAGGUGGGGAUGACGUCAAGUCAUCAUGCCCCUUAUGUCCAGGGCUUCACGCAUGCUACAAUGGCUGGUACAGAGAGUGGCGAGCCUGUGAGGGUGGGCGAAUCUCGGAAAGCCGGUCUCAGUUCGGAUUGGGGUCUGCAACUCGACCUCAUGAAGUCGGAGUCGCUAGUAAUCGCAGAUCAGCAACGCUGCGGUGAAUACGUUCCCGGG
This 1342-nucleotide ribosomal RNA is filed under the name uncultured bacterium. RNAcentral's name for it is "16S ribosomal RNA". It matches the Rfam family "Bacterial small subunit ribosomal RNA", at positions 28 to 1378 of the family's 1533-position model. The record is from RNAcentral.